Molecule: ribosomal RNA, 460 nt
Filed under: uncultured bacterium
Lineage: Bacteria
Description: partial 16S ribosomal RNA
Rfam family: Bacterial small subunit ribosomal RNA
Source: RNAcentral
CCUACGGGAGGCUGCAGUGAGGAAUAUUGGUCAAUGGACGAGAGUCUGAACCAGCCAAGUAGCGUGAAGGAUGACUGCCCUAUGGGUUGUAAACUUCUUUUAUAUGGGAAUAAAAUGUUCCACGUGUGGGAUUUUGUAUGUACCAUAUGAAUAAGGAUCGGCUAACUCCGUGCCAGCAGCCGCGGUAAUACGGAGGAUCCGAGCGUGUUCCGGAUUUAUUGGGUUUAAAGGGAGCGUAGGUGGAUUGUUAAGUCAGUUGUGAAAGUUUGCGGCUCAACCGUAAAAUUGCAGUUGAAACUGGCAGUCUUGAGUACAGUAGAGGUGGGCGGAAUUCGUGGUGUAGCGGUGAAAUGCUUAGAUAUCACGAAGAACUCCGAUUGCGAAGGCAGUUCACUGGACUGCAACUGACACUGAGGCUCGAAAGUGUGGGUAUCAAACAGGAUUAGAUACCCUGGUAGUC